CCUACGGGGGGCUGCAGUGAGGAAUAUUGGUCAAUGGACGAGAGUCUGAACCAGCCAAGUAGCGUGAAGGAUGACUGCCCUAUGGGUUGUAAACUUCUUUUAUAAAGGAAUAAAACGAGGCACGUGUGCCUUUUUGCGUGUACUUUAUGAAUAAGGAUCGGCUAACUCCGUGCCAGCAGCCGCGGUAAUACGGAGGAUGCGAGCGUUAUCCGGAUUUAUUGGGUUUAAAGGGAGCGUAGAUGGGUUGUUAAGUCAGUUGUGAAAGUUUGCGGCUCAACCGUAAAAUUGCAAUUGAUACUGGCAGUCUUGAGUACAGUUGAGGUAGGCGGAAUUCGGGGUGUAGCGGUGAAAUGCUUAGAUAUCACGAAGAACCCCGAUUGCGAAGGCAGCAUACUAAACUGUAACUGACGUUGAUGCUCGAAAGUGUGGGUAUCAAACAGGAUUAGAUACCCUUGUAGUC
RNAcentral lists this ribosomal RNA (460 nucleotides) under uncultured bacterium. RNAcentral describes it as "partial 16S ribosomal RNA". It matches the Rfam family "Bacterial small subunit ribosomal RNA", at positions 338 to 795 of the family's 1533-position model. The record is from RNAcentral.